Siniperca chuatsi (mandarin fish) is the source of this 871-nucleotide long non-coding RNA. RefSeq lists it as uncharacterized. The transcript has 4 exons. The record is from RefSeq and is a predicted model, not a curated record. NCBI's taxonomy places the organism in Eukaryota, Metazoa, Chordata, Actinopteri, Centrarchiformes, Sinipercidae.
AAAUCAAGCGGCUAGCUAACACCCAAGGCUAGCCACAGAAAAACAGUCCUCCAGCAGCUGUGAAUCGACAAGACUCUACUAACAGAUAACAACAUCAUCGCUCCAGCAAGACCAAAUAAAUCGAUUUUGUAUUUACAGUAUUUUCAGAAGUGAACCUACAAUGGGAAAAUUAAGGAAAAACACACAUAGCAGUGAUACUUCCAGUAUCUGUGUGGUGGCUCUCAGUCCACUGACAUCAGAGUGAGCUGUGACACCAGUCAGCGGAGUACUAGAGUCUCUGUGAGACUGAGAAACGCUGUGUCAUUGUCUUGUAGUGUCACUGUGCACACACACAUCUUUACACUGAGCUCAUGGGAACAGAUGAGCUGGACUUCAAGACUAACUCCUAAAGAAAACAUUAAAGUGGAACUAUGCUGUGACUACUAUUCUCUGCACUGCGCAAUGCCGCUGAGUGGAUAGUUUCCUGCUGUGGCUCCCGCUCCUCAAAGAAGGACAGGACAGCAGCAGGAUGCCUAUACCAGUACAAAGGGCAGAACGUGUGGACAGUCUCUAGUGAUGAAAAAACAUCCAGUCAAAAUCCUCCCUAAUUCCUCCCAGCAGAGUGGAAAGAAGAGAUGCCCAUAUUUCCCCACCACCUGAUUUACCUCUCAGGUGUAUUUACCUGAUCUGUGUUGCUCUGUGCUUGUUAUAAUGACGACUUGUCCCAAAACUCCUGGUUGGGAAGUUGGAUGAUGUCUGACAGCUGUCAAGUGCAGCAGUGGCUCAGAAGUGGCUUACAAUCUACUGUAUGUACCGAUCAUUUAUGUGGUAGAAAUGCAAUGUGGUCAGCACAUCAAAUUAAUCCAAUUAAUAAAAUAAAUGGUCAAGAUUA